GAGUUUGAUCAUGGCUCAGAUUGAACGCUGGCGGCAUGCCUUACACAUGCAAGUCGAACGGUAACAGGUCUUCGGAUGCUGACGAGUGGCGAACGGGUGAGUAAUACAUCGGAACGUGCCCGAUCGUGGGGGGAUAACGGAGCGAAAGCUUUGCUAAUACCGCAUACGAUCUACGGAUGAAAGCAGGGGACCGCAAGGCCUUGCGCGGACGGAGCGGCCGAUGGCAGAUUAGGUAGUUGGUGGGAUAAAAGCUUACCAAGCCGACGAUCUGUAGCUGGUCUGAGAGGACGACCAGCCACACUGGGACUGAGACACGGCCCAGACUCCUACGGGAGGCAGCAGUGGGAAUUUGGACAAUGGGCGAAAGCCUGAUCCAGCCAUGCCGCGUGCAGGAUGAAGGCC
Molecule: ribosomal RNA, 402 nt
Filed under: uncultured microorganism
Description: bacterial SSU rRNA
Rfam family: Bacterial small subunit ribosomal RNA
Source: RNAcentral